Molecule: ribosomal RNA, 353 nt
Filed under: uncultured bacterium
Lineage: Bacteria
Description: partial 16S ribosomal RNA
Source: RNAcentral
GACUUUAUCGUACUCCGAAUGCAUCNNAGAUUAUUUNGUUUGGAUCCAUGGCUCAGAGUGAACCGCUGGCGUGUAGGCCUAACACAUGCAAGUCGAACGGCAGCACAGGAGAGCUUGCUCUCUGGGUGGCGAGUGGCGGACGGGUGAGGAAUACAUCGGAAUCUACUUCGGGGGGAUAACGUAGGGAAACUUACGCUAAAUACCGCAAUACGACCCUACGGCGCUGAACGCCACCGGAGANUCAUUCGAGACCCAUUGACGCCGGACUUUGGACAUGUACGCCCGAUGUAACGANUUUCACCCUUAAGUAUAUAGCCCCGNGNGUCAACAUCNGGCCCCACCANCACAAAGCC